CGCAUCUGUGCAUGCAGCAUAUCAAUAAGCGGAGGAAAAGAAACUAACAAGGAUUCCCCUAGUAACGGCGAGUGAAGCGGGAAGAGCUCAAAUUUGAAAUCUUAAAGGGUUUCCCUUUACGAAUUGUAGUUUAAAGAAGUGUUUUCUGUUGAGGUUUUGGUAAAAGUUCUUUGGAAUAGGACAUCAUAGAGGGUGAGAAUCCCGUAUUUGACCUUUACUUUCAACUUUGUGAUACACUUUCAAAGAGUCGGAUUGUUUGGGAAUGCAGUCCAAAAUGGGUGGUAAAUUUCAUCUAAAGCUAAAUAUUGGCGAGAGACCGAUAGCGAACAAGUACCGUGAGGGAAAGAUGAAAAGAACUUUGAAAAGAGAGUUAAACAGUACGUGAAAUUGUCAAAAGGGAAGCGUUUGACACCAGUGUUGUUUUUCUGAAAAUCAACUAAAGAACUGUUUAUGCUAAGCUGUUUAGACUUUAUCAGCUAAUCUGUUUAGUUUUGAGCUUUUCUUUAAUGCACUUUUCAGUUAACAAGUCAACAUCAAUUUCUUUUGCUGUAAAAAAGCUUGAGGAAGGUGGCUUGAGAUUCGUCUUAAGUGUUUAUAGCCUCUUGCCUAUGCAGUCGGAGAGAUUGAGGUCUGCAGCGUAGAUCCUUCGGGGCUAAAUGCAUUUGUGCUAAGUUAUAGCAUUUUAUAGACAACUUGUUGACUAUGAUUUGUCUUGUAGCUUACUCGCUUAUGUUAUUUUACCUACGCUUAGGAUGUUGAAUCUGUGCGAGACUAC
This 775-nucleotide ribosomal RNA is filed under the name uncultured Neocallimastigales. RNAcentral's name for it is "partial large subunit ribosomal RNA". It matches the Rfam family "Eukaryotic large subunit ribosomal RNA", at positions 26 to 644 of the family's 3401-position model. The record is from RNAcentral. Lineage: Eukaryota; Fungi; Neocallimastigomycota; Neocallimastigomycetes; Neocallimastigales.